UCCCACCAGUAAUCUUUUCUCAAUUCGGCUAUUCCGUACCAUUGGUAUGUAUGAAAUUAGGGUAAGUACAAAUACCACCCCAAGGUUUAAGCAACAUCAACAGACACCUCUCAACUCAGCAAUAACUUUUGGUAUGAUAAUUGGAGCAUGUUAAGACAUUACAUUUUUAAACCGGGCUCCCAUAAGAAUGGCCAGGACCUCGUGUAGGGCUGAACAAAAUGGCGCCUCAUCUGACAAGUUAAGGACAAACAGGCAGACAAAAAAAACCCCACAUGACCGAAACACACAACCUCAUUUGUUUGAGCAUACUCCAUGGAUUGGAAGAUGUUCCAUGUGUAUCGUCUCCUCAUCUCCAUGCGAGCCACAUACUGCCUGUACCAGCGCUGA
This is a long non-coding RNA of Engraulis encrasicolus (European anchovy), 387 nucleotides long. RefSeq lists it as uncharacterized. The transcript has 3 exons. Lineage: Eukaryota; Metazoa; Chordata; Actinopteri; Clupeiformes; Engraulidae. The record is from RefSeq and is a predicted model, not a curated record.